Long non-coding RNA from Rhododendron vialii, 761 nucleotides. RefSeq lists it as uncharacterized. Lineage: Eukaryota; Viridiplantae; Streptophyta; Magnoliopsida; Ericales; Ericaceae. The transcript has 5 exons. The record is from RefSeq and is a predicted model, not a curated record.
AAUGAAAAGGCAAAGGACAUGUGAUUUUGUUUAACUAUACUAAGUUUCCGCAAGUUUCGACGUAAUUACGUGUUCAAUUUGCACAGAUGGGUUAUUUUCGGUUUAAUAGAUUGAUAUUGUUUAAUCUACCCUGUUGUUUUCUCCUCUCCUGUCCCUUUUGGGGUUCCAUCGGUUCCUGCAGAGCAAAUCUUUCCGUCUAACGCUCAAAUCUAUGGCUCGUGCUCCUCCUGAAAAGGUGUGGGUUAUUAGAAACAUGAAGGUUUUGAAGUUUUUAGUACCAAUCAAUUCCUGAUUGCUCCUACAUCAGAGGAUAUUAAUCGAGCUGUACUCAAGAGCGCUUGCUUCAAAUAACUCAUCAAGUUUCAUCUUCAACCCACCUAUACUAGAAGCAGCUACACUGCCGGCAUGGUGUGUAGUCAAUGCCGGCAAAAUGAAACUCAAAAAAUUGCCAAUCUCCCUACAUCAGAGGCUGGAAUGUUAUGUUAUCGUGUAUUGAAGUACGAUGUCGAGAUCGACCACUCUGUAAGGAAGCUUCUCUAUUCCUUUGGCUGUUUUAUACUUUUAUUUUAUUUAAAUUAUCUCUGGCAAAACAUGUUGUGAAUCUGUAUGCAGUUUUUUCACUGAGCUAUGUCACCUUUGCAUUUUAAAAAACACCAAUAUAUUUUAAGGGGUUGUGUUUGUGUUGCAGCCAGAAAAGUAUGGCAUGAAUGCUCGCAGCAUUACGUUUUGAAAUUGUAAAUUUCUGUGGGUUGAUACUUUUC